AUGAACGCUGGCGGCGUGCCUAAUACAUGCAAGUCGAGCGAACAGAUGAGGAGCUUGCUCCUCUGACGUUAGCGGCGGACGGGUGAGUAACACGUGGAUAACCAACCUAUAAGACUGGGAUAACUUCGGGAAACCGGAGCUAAUACCGGAUAAUAUAUUGAACCGCAUGGUUCAAUAGUGAAAGACGGUUUUGCUGUCACUUAUAGAUGGAUCCGCGCCGCAUUAGCUAGUUGGUAAGGUAACGGCUUACCAAGGCAACGAUGCGUAGCCGACCUGAGAGGGUGAUCGGCCACACUGGAACUGAGACACGGUCCAGACUCCUACGGGAGGCAGCAGUAGGGAAUCUUCCGCAAUGGGCGAAAGCCUGACGGAGCAACGCCGCGUGAGUGAUGAAGGUCUUCGGAUCGUAAAACUCUGUUAUUAGGGAAGAACAAAUGUGUAAGUAACUAUGCACGUCUUGACGGUACCUAAUCAGAAAGCCACGGCUAACUACGUG
Molecule: ribosomal RNA, 496 nt
Filed under: uncultured bacterium
Lineage: Bacteria
Description: partial 16S ribosomal RNA
Rfam family: Bacterial small subunit ribosomal RNA
Source: RNAcentral